GACGAACGCUGGCGGCGUGCUUAACACAUGCAAGUCGAGCGGUAAGGCCCUUUCGGGGGUACACGAGCGGCGAACGGGUGAGUAACACGUGGGUGACCUGCCCUCAGCUCUGGGAUAAGCCUGGGAAACUGGGUCUAAUACCGGAUAUGACCCCAUGACGCAUGUCGUGGGGUGGAAAGCCUUGUGCGGCUGAGGAUGGGCCCGCGGCCUAUCAGCUUGUUGGUGGGGUGAUGGCCUACCAAGGCGACGACGGUAGCCGGCCUGAGAGGGCGACCGGCCACACUGGGACUGAGACACGGCCCAGACUCCUACGGGAGGCAGCAGUGGGGAAUCUUGCGCAAUGGGCGAAAGCCUGACGCAGCGACGCCGCGUGAGGGAUGAC
RNAcentral lists this ribosomal RNA (382 nucleotides) under uncultured bacterium. RNAcentral's name for it is "bacterial SSU rRNA". It matches the Rfam family "Bacterial small subunit ribosomal RNA", at positions 28 to 412 of the family's 1533-position model. The record is from RNAcentral.